CCUCCUCAGGCCGGCCUGUGCAGCCUGUGCAGCCUCUUCCCAGAGAGUAAAGUAAGUUCGACCCAGAUGUUUUCUUUUUUUCGACCCAGAUGUUUUCUUUUUUUACCUGUGAAAACCCGGCUCUCAAUGAUUCCUUCACAAUAGGCACUACGGUUCUUUUAGAGGCUGGUGAAGUGUCCGUGUCAGUAUAAGGUGCAUUUUAAGCAGCUCAGGUGUAAGAGGGCUUUUCCUCUUUGAUUUAUUAAUGUAUUUUAUGGAUUGGACCAGAGCACCCUUGAUCAUGCAGGAAUGUCUUCAUCUGACACGUGGUGUUACUGGAUUGGAGAUUCCUUGUCAGGUGAAGCGGUCACUCACGACGGUUUGGUAUACUGCAGGUAUAGGGCUCCCAUCUGGCCUCCAACUGAGGCUGCAGUGCCAGCGGGUUGGAGGCUGUGCUGCUGCUCUGGCUCUUGAACCCGGACUUAAUGCCCGCUGCUCAGCAGUAUCUCCCUUCUGUGGAGCUCCUGGCUUCAUCUGGUAUCUCUAUUCCAUCCUAUCUGGAUGGAGCAGGCCAAUUGAGACCUUCCUCAGGUGCGGAUGAAUCCGUUUCCAGUUAAUAUGGGGCACCAAGAGGAGGAGAACAACUCAAAUGGGAAUAAAGGAAAGUAGACGCCGGCACGCAGAAAGAAGUUGGUCAGGCUAAAUGGCAAAUGCCCUUCAAACAAUUUGACUGGUGGACACGGACAUGCUGGCCGUAGUUCUCUUCUCACAGAGCAUUAAGAGCUGACUCGUCUCAAUCAGACGUCCUGAGGAAUAAAUCAGGGUUUUGUAAAGGACAAAAGAGGGCUUCCCCUCUGUGAGCUGCUCUCUGCAAUCAGCUGUAAACGUGAGUCUCCUGUUUCAGCCUCUUCAAUACAGCCUCUAGUGGCCACUAGAUGAACUGCUUCUUUGGACACCCUGCUUAUGCUUCAGCUUGCCCCGAGAAUUCCAAGUUUGCGGUCAUCAUCCAAACGCCUCUGUGGCAAAGGACGUAUUUGAAUUCCGGCCUUGAUCUCUAUCUCUCUCUCUCUCUCUUUGUUUUCCCACCUCAACCUCCUUGGUUCACCUCCACACUCUCUCUUUCUUCUUUUUUCCCCUAAAAAAAAACACUGACGUCAGCGAGUGCAUCCACUCCACAAACAUCACAACACAAACAGCACUGUGGGCAGAGCCAUAGGGCCACUGAGAGGAGGCACAGCAGCAGCAGCAGCAGCAACAGCGCUCUCACUUGUCAGUUUACAUAACACUGAUUAUAACCCUGAGAUUUAUCCAACCAACGAGCAACAGUUUACUUUGGCCUGGGCAUUAAAAUCUCAGCGGCCAUCUGUUCCACCGCUUAGUUGCUUUCCUUCAAAUAGUUUUUUUUCCGCCCACUGAUUCUAGUGUCGCUCAGAUAUCACACAGCAGUAAUGUGGGAUUACUUUCUGUCUUCUAUU
Molecule: long non-coding RNA, 1454 nt
Organism: Gasterosteus aculeatus aculeatus (three-spined stickleback)
Lineage: Eukaryota; Metazoa; Chordata; Actinopteri; Perciformes; Gasterosteidae
Source: Ensembl